This 1047-nucleotide ribosomal RNA is filed under the name Vibrio alginolyticus. RNAcentral's name for it is "bacterial SSU rRNA". It matches the Rfam family "Bacterial small subunit ribosomal RNA", at positions 32 to 1058 of the family's 1533-position model. Lineage: Bacteria; Pseudomonadati; Pseudomonadota; Gammaproteobacteria; Vibrionales; Vibrionaceae. The record is from RNAcentral.
CCCCCUGGGGGCAGCCCUACCAUGCAAGUCGAGCGGAACGAGUUAUCUGAACCUUCGGGGGACGAUAACGGCGUCGAGCGGCGGACGGGUGAGUAAUGCCUAGGAAAUUGCCCUGAUGUGGGGGAUAACCAUUGGAAACGAUGGCUAAUACCGCAUGAUGCCUACGGGCCAAAGAGGGGGACCUUCGGGCCUCUCGCGUCAGGAUAUGCCUAGGUGGGAUUAGCUAGUUGGUGAGGUAAGGGCUCACCAAGGCGACGAUCCCUAGCUGGUCUGAGAGGAUGAUCAGCCACACUGGAACUGAGACACGGUCCAGACUCCUACGGGAGGCAGCAGUGGGGAAUAUUGCACAAUGGGCGCAAGCCUGAUGCAGCCAUGCCGCGUGUAUGAAGAAGGCCUUCGGGUUGUAAAGUACUUUCAGCCGUGAGGAAGGUGGGUGUGUUAAUAGCACAUUCAUUUGACGUUAGCUGCAGAAGAAGCACCGGCUAACUCCGUGCCAGCAGCCGCGGUAAUACGGAGGGUGCGAGCGUUAAUCGGAAUUACUGGGCGUAAAGCGCAUGCAGGUGGUUUGUUAAGUCAGAUGUGAAAGCCCGGGGCUCAACCUCGGAAUAGCAUUUGAAACUGGCAGACUAGAGUACUGUAGAGGGGGGUAGAAUUUCAGGUGUAGCGGUGAAAUGCGUAGAGAUCUGAAGGAAUACCGGUGGCGAAGGCGGCCCCCUGGACAGAUACUGACACUCAGAUGCGAAAGCGUGGGGAGCAAACAGGAUUAGAUACCCUGGUAGUCCACGCCGUAAACGAUGUCUACUUGGAGGUUGUGGCCUUGAGCCGUGGCUUUCGGAGCUAACGCGUUAAGUAGACCGCCUGGGGAGUACGGUCGCAAGAUUAAAACUCAAAUGAAUUGACGGGGGCCCGCACAAGCGGUGGAGCAUGUGGUUUAAUUCGAUGCAACGCGAAGAACCCUUACCUACUCUUGACAUCCAGAGAACUUUCCAGAGAUGGAUUGGUUGCCUUCGGGAACUCUGAGACAGGUGCUGCAUGGACUGUCGUCAG